AUUUGAUUUAACUCGGGAACACAGUGGCAUCCGCAGCUCCAAACCCACUUCCAGAUUCCUCCUUUUUCUCCUCCACCGGCGCCGGAGCCUCCACCUUCUUCUCCUCCACCGGCGGCGCCACCUCUUCAGCUUUCUUCUCCUCGGUCACCGUCGGUGGUGCAACGGCAGUGGUACCGGACUUCUCAUACUGGUGAAGAUAAUCAUCUGCUUGUUUCAAAUACGACCCUACCCUUGAUUCUCAUCAAACUUACCGUACUGCUUGUUUCAAAGAAGCUUUUACAAGUUUUGGCUUUGAUACUGCCUUUAAGAUUAUGAGUGGAUUUGUCAUUUAUAAUGCUCCAUCCUAUGAAUCCCCCCGAUACUCAUCCCCAGAAACCCCUUAUCUGCUUUUGUUUCAUUGGAGAGAGAACGAGAAAAGUGAGAGAGUGAGAAGGAGAGAGACUGAGAAGGAGAGCAGGAUAGAGAAGGGGGUAGGAGAUUUAAUGGUGUCACUGAUUUCUCCAUCAAAUCCGGUUUUUAGGGUUUUGCCAGACCUAAAUUAUGCUCCCACAUCCCAGGCAGCGCCGACGUCAAGAAAUAGUCCGAUGAUAUUGAUGAUGGAUUGUUUUGAAGGCUAAACAGCUCAAAAAGACGGUAGGUGUUGUGUCUGAAGGUGGUAGGGGCCUGAGCAUUUGGGAUGUUUUCCGCCUCACAAAUCCAGGUUGAACUGCCCAAGAUAUUCAAAUUAUGUGGCUCUCCCUCAGAUGUGUCUUUUCUCAAAUCUUGGUAUCACCAGUCAGAUGGUUAAAGCUACCCAAGAAUCCAUUCAAAAUACUAAAGCGUUUGAUAUAAGACCAUUUUGGGCAGGAGCAUCAGCAAAUGCAGUGACCGUGGAGUGUCGAUGAUGAUUUGGGUUACGGAUUGGGUGUUUAGCGGUGGUAUUAUGACAACGACCGAACAUUAGUUUUUCGGGUAAUGACUCCAAGAGAUCAAGUUCUGCAUAACUAGAUGCGAGCAUAGAUAAGAAUAUGAGGAUCGAGGUUACCCAAAAAAAAAA
This is a long non-coding RNA of Helianthus annuus (common sunflower), 1036 nucleotides long. RefSeq lists it as uncharacterized. The record is from RefSeq and is a predicted model, not a curated record. Lineage: Eukaryota; Viridiplantae; Streptophyta; Magnoliopsida; Asterales; Asteraceae. The transcript is spliced from 5 exons.